This 2202-nucleotide ribosomal RNA is filed under the name Escherichia coli. RNAcentral's name for it is "bacterial LSU rRNA". It matches the Rfam family "Bacterial large subunit ribosomal RNA", at positions 1 to 2228 of the family's 2925-position model. Lineage: Bacteria; Pseudomonadati; Pseudomonadota; Gammaproteobacteria; Enterobacterales; Enterobacteriaceae. The record is from RNAcentral.
UUAAGCGACUAAGCGUACACGGUGGAUGCCCUGGCAGUCAGAGGCGAUGAAGGACGUGCUAAUCUGCGAUAAGCGUCGGUAAGGUGAUAUGAACCGUUAUAACCGGCGAUUUCCGAAUGGGGAAACCCAGUGUGUUUCGACACACUAUCAUUAACUGAAUCCAUAGGUUAAUGAGGCGAACCGGGGGAACUGAAACAUCUAAGUACCCCGAGGAAAAGAAAUCAACCGAGAUUCCCCCAGUAGCGGCGAGCGAACGGGGAGCAGCCCAGAGCCUGAAUCAGUGUGUGUGUUAGUGGAAGCGUCUGGAAAGGCGCGCGAUACAGGGUGACAGCCCCGUACACAAAAAUGCACAUGCUGUGAGCUCGAUGAGUAGGGCGGGACACGUGGUAUCCUGUCUGAAUAUGGGGGGACCAUCCUCCAAGGCUAAAUACUCCUGACUGACCGAUAGUGAACCAGUACCGUGAGGGAAAGGCGAAAAGAACCCCGGCGAGGGGAGUGAAAAAGAACCUGAAACCGUGUACGUACAAGCAGUGGGAGCACAGAGCAAUCUGUGUGACUGCGUACCUUUUGUAUAAUGGGUCAGCGACUUAUAUUCUGUAGCAAGGUUAACCGAAUAGGGGAGCCGAAGGGAAACCGAGUCUUAACUGGGCGUUAAGUUGCAGGGUAUAGACCCGAAACCCGGUGAUCUAGCCAUGGGCAGGUUGAAGGUUGGGUAACACUAACUGGAGGACCGAACCGACUAAUGUUGAAAAAUUAGCGGAUGACUUGUGGCUGGGGGUGAAAGGCCAAUCAAACCGGGAGAUAGCUGGUUCUCCCCGAAAGCUAUUUAGGUAGCGCCUCGUGAAUUCAUCUCCGGGGGUAGAGCACUGUUUCGGCAAGGGGGUCAUCCCGACUUACCAACCCGAUGCAAACUGCGAAUACCGGAGAAUGUUAUCACGGGAGACACACGGCGGGUGCUAACGUCCGUCGUGAAGAGGGAAACAACCCAGACCGCCAGCUAAGGUCCCAAAGUCAUGGUUAAGUGGGAAACGAUGUGGGAAGGCCCAGACAGCCAGGAUGUUGGCUUAGAAGCAGCCAUCAUUUAAAGAAAGCGUAAUAGCUCACUGGUCGAGUCGGCCUGCGCGGAAGAUGUAACGGGGCUAAACCAUGCACCGAAGCUGCGGCAGCGACGCUUAUGCGUUGUUGGGUAGGGGAGCGUUCUGUAAGCCUGCGAAGGUGUGCUGUGAGGCAUGCUGGAGGUAUCAGAAGUGCGAAUGCUGACAUAAGUAACGAUAAAGCGGGUGAAAAGCCCGCUCGCCGGAAGACCAAGGGUUCCUGUCCAACGUUAAUCGGGGCAGGGUGAGUCGACCCCUAAGGCGAGGCCGAAAGGCGUAGUCGAUGGGAAACAGGUUAAUAUUCCUGUACUUGGUGUUACUGCGAAGGGGGGACGGAGAAGGCUAUGUUGGCCGGGCGACGGUUGUCCCGGUUUAAGCGUGUAGGCUGGUUUUCCAGGCAAAUCCGGAAAAUCAAGGCUGAGGCGUGAUGACGAGGCACUACGGUGCUGAAGCAACAAAUGCCCUGCUUCCAGGAAAAGCCUCUAAGCAUCAGGUAACAUCAAAUCGUACCCCAAACCGACACAGGUGGUCAGGUAGAGAAUACCAAGGCGCUUGAGAGAACUCGGGUGAAGGAACUAGGCAAAAUGGUGCCGUAACUUCGGGAGAAGGCACGCUGAUAUGUAGGUGAAGUCCCUCGCGGAUGGAGCUGAAAUCAGUCGAAGAUACCAGCUGGCUGCAACUGUUUAUUAAAAACACAGCACUGUGCAAACACGAAAGUGGACGUAUACGGUGUGACGCCUGCCCGGUGCCGGAAGGUUAAUUGAUGGGGUUAGCGCAAGCGAAGCUCUUGAUCGAAGCCCCGGUAAACGGCGGCCGUAACUAUAACGGUCCUAAGGUAGCGAAAUUCCUUGUCGGGUAAGUUCCGACCUGCACGAAUGGCGUAAUGAUGGCCAGGCUGUCUCCACCCGAGACUCAGUGAAAUUGAACUCGCUGUGAAGAUGCAGUGUACCCGCGGCAAGACGGAAAGACCCCGUGAACCUUUACUAUAGCUUGACACUGAACAUUGAGCCUUGAUGUGUAGGAUAGGUGGGAGGCUUUGAAGUGUGGACGCCAGUCUGCAUGGAGCCGACCUUGAAAUACCACCCUUUAAUGUUUGAUGUUCUAACGU